UGAAUACGAGAUGCUACGGCGUCGAAGCAGUCUAUGUCAUACUUCCAAGAAAAGCUUGCACUGUCAUAAACAAAUAAUGCCUGUACCAUAACCGACACAGGUGGGUAGGUAGAGUAUACUAAGGGGCGCGAGAUAACUCUCUCUAAGGAACUCGGCAAAAUGACUCCGUAACUUCGGGAGAAGGAGUGCCUUAUUUAUAAGGUUGCAAUAACAAGAUCCAAGCAACUGUUUACCAAAAACACAGGUCUCCGCUAAGUCGUAAGACGAUGUAUGGGGGCUGACGCCUGCCCAGUGCCAGAAGGUUAAAGAAGUUGGUUAGCAUCCGCGAAGCUGAUAACUGAAGCCCUGGUGAACGCGGCCGUAACAAUAACGGUCCUAAGGUAGCGGAAUUCCUUGUCGGGUAAGUUCCGACCCGCACGAAAGGCGUAAUGAUUUGGAUACUGUCUCGGAGAGGGGCUCGGUGAAAUAGACUUGUCUGUGAAGAUGCGGACUACCUGCACCAGGACAGAAAGACCCUAUGAAGCUUUACUGUAACCUGAAAUUGAAAUUGGACUUUACUUGCGCAGUAUAGGUGGGAGGCGUUGAGAAUAUUCUUGCGGGAUUAUUGGAGCCAUCAGUGAGAUACCACUCUUGUAAUGUUAGAUUUCUAACUUUGUAUCAUUAUCUGGUCAAAGAACAGUUUCAGGCGGGCAGUUUGACUGGGGCGGUCGCCUCCUAAACGGUAACGGAGGCGCACAAAGGUUUCCUCUGAACGGGUAGAAAUCGUAUCUAGAGUGUAAAGGCAUAAGGAAGCUUGACUGUGAGACCUACAAGUCGAGCAGGGACGAAAGUCGGUCUUAGUGAUCUGACGGUGCUGAGUGGAAAGGCCGUCACUCAACGGAUAAAAGUUACUCUAGGAUAACAGGCUGAUCUCCCCCAAGAGUUCACAUCGACGGGGAGGUUUGGCACCUCGAUGUCGGCUCAUCGCAUCCUGGGGCGGUAGUACGUCCCAAGGGUUGGGCUGUUCGCCCAUGAAAGCGGUACGCGAGCUGGGUUCAGAACGUCGUGAGACAGUUCGGUCCAUAUCCGGUGUAGGCGUUAGAAUAUUGAGAGGAGCCUUCUUUAGUACGAGAGGACCGAGAAGGACAUACCUCUGGUGUACCAGUUAUCGUGCCAACGGUAAACGCUGGGUAGCUAUGUGUGGAGUGGAUAACCGCUGAAAGCAUCUAAGUGGGAAGCCCACCUCAAGAUAAG
This 1233-nucleotide ribosomal RNA is filed under the name metagenome. RNAcentral's name for it is "bacterial LSU rRNA". It matches the Rfam family "Bacterial large subunit ribosomal RNA", at positions 1564 to 2808 of the family's 2925-position model. The record is from RNAcentral.